CCUACGGGAGGCAGCAGUGGGGAAUAUUGCACAAUGGGGGAAACCCUGAUGCAGCGACGCCGCGGGAGUGAAGAAGUAUUUCGGUAUGUAAAGCUCUAUCAGCAGGGCAGAAAAUGACGGUACCUGAUUAAGAAGCCCCGGCUAACUACGGGCCAGCAGCCGCGGUAAUACGUAGGGGGCAAGCGUUAUCCGGAUUUACUGGGUGUAAAGGGAGCGUAGACGGCAGCACAAGUCUGGAGUGAAAUGCCUGGGCUUAACCCCGGAACUGCUUUGGAAACUGUGCAGCUAGAGUGCAGGAGAGGUAAGUGGAAUUCCAAGUGUAGCGGUGAAAUGCGUAGAUAUUAGGAGGAACACCAGUGGCGAAGGCGGCUUACUGGACUGUAACUGACGUUGAGGCUCGAAAGCGUGGGGAGCAAACAGGAUUAGAUACCCGAGUAGUC
This 440-nucleotide ribosomal RNA is filed under the name uncultured bacterium. RNAcentral's name for it is "partial 16S ribosomal RNA". It matches the Rfam family "Bacterial small subunit ribosomal RNA", at positions 338 to 795 of the family's 1533-position model. The record is from RNAcentral.